RNAcentral lists this transfer RNA (67 nucleotides) under Marmota monax (woodchuck). RNAcentral's name for it is "tRNA.Ala". Lineage: Eukaryota; Metazoa; Chordata; Mammalia; Rodentia; Sciuridae. The record is from RNAcentral.
GGUCAUAGCUCAGUGGUAGAAUGCUCAUCUAGCAAGUGUGAGACUCUGGGUUCAAUCCUCAGCACCA